UUUCCGUAGGUGAACCUGCGGAAGGAUCAUUAAUGAGUUGUCAUGGGGUUCGAUGCUGGCAGCCAAUUUUUGGAUGCAUGUGCUUGCCCUAACAAUCAUCUUCCAAACACCUGUGCACAUUUUUGAGGGAGUCUUGAGUUGGUUGCCGCUCUUGGGUGAUUUUCUCACAUUCCCUUAAACCAUUAUACGCUAUUAACAAUGUUGUACGUGCUCUGUGCCGCAAGGCCAUUAAUAUAAUACAACUUUUAACAACGGAUCUCUUGGCUCUC
RNAcentral lists this unclassified non-coding RNA (269 nucleotides) under plant metagenome. RNAcentral describes it as "partial contains small subunit ribosomal RNA, internal transcribed spacer 1, and 5.8S ribosomal RNA". The record is from RNAcentral.